AUGGCUCCUACUCUCCAGGAUGUGUCCUUUUUAUUGGGACUACCGUUGGCAGGUCAUGCCAUAGGACCGUUGGAGGCACCGGCUGAUUGGCAGCUUGGUAUUGCACAAUGUUUCGCGGGUAUUUAUGACCGAGCUCUGGCGCUGACAUCGGAUAAUCAUGGACCUAAGUAUAAUGGUUGCUCCAUUUCCAGAUCCAAAAAUUCCCGGGGUAUCCAAGGGUCCCGUUGA
Molecule: ribosomal RNA, 228 nt
Filed under: Triticum aestivum (bread wheat)
Lineage: Eukaryota; Viridiplantae; Streptophyta; Magnoliopsida; Poales; Poaceae
Description: partial small subunit ribosomal RNA
Source: RNAcentral